Molecule: long non-coding RNA, 3415 nt
Filed under: Homo sapiens (human)
Lineage: Eukaryota; Metazoa; Chordata; Mammalia; Primates; Hominidae
Description: NR2F1 regulatory antisense RNA 1, transcript variant 35 (NR2F1-AS1)
Source: RNAcentral
GCCUUGCGCGCGGGGUUGGCUGCCGGGAGGUCGACGCUAGUGCGGUCCCCCGCGCGGCGGAGGGGCCCGGGCCGCGGUAUCUGCGCACUGAGACGUCGGCGGAAGGCUAGAGGCCGUGCUCUCGCCCCCGCAGAAGGCCACCACUCCUUGAGAAGGCCGGAGGGACAAAGCACCGGGCCUGCGCCGGGGGCAUUCAAGAAGGAAGCCAGGCCCGACCGGGGGUGGCGCACGCUUCCCGAACCCCAGGCCCACGGCCCGGUUCCGCGCGGGCAGUUGGCGCCCCCUCGGGUCGGCACAGCAGACCUCUUAGUAAUGGUCCCCAGGGAGUGUGAGUGGGUCCCCGCCAAUCUUUUAAGGUUCAGAGAUCCACCGUCGAACGAAGCCGCUUUUACAACUUCCCCAUUUAGCCUCUUUCCUCCCCCGCCGCUGGCUAAAGCGCUGAACCUUGCCAUCCUCCUGGGGUGCCUAACGAUUUGCCCUGCCUUGGACAGCCAGUCCUCUUCAGGUGGUGGGCUGCUGGUAGGGGUAGGAAGCAAGGCCUGGGGCACAGUUGGGGACCCUCACACCUGAUUUUCUGUUUUAAGGAGGAACUGGGUUUCAAAAAGCUGUAGAGUCAGUGGGAGUUUCCUUUUGUGGCCCUUGGCACUUUUUAAAACACCCAUCUGCAAGGCGGGAACAGCGGAGAAAGUGCUAUGUAGUUCAUAAAAAGGAUAUUGGGAGACUGUUAUCUUAAGAGUUUUUCUAGAGAUUGUUUUGUAAUCUCUCAGUUUAGAGAGUUGAUAUGUCCCGCGCCAUCAGCCCGCUGAAUGGGAUCUUCCUUCAGACAGGGACUGAGAAACGGAAAUACUACCAUCCUCCAGCCAAUCUGUUGGGAGGACUGCUUGCAGAGGACUCGUGCUCCAGAUGUUGCACUAGAGGCGCUGCAAGUGUGAGCAGCAGGUAGAUGAAACUCAAGAGAAAAGGUGUGGAUAAAUGAAACUAGCCCAUGAUGAACCUGUUUUCUCCGUGACCACAAUAUUAACCAGGAUGAAUGGCGGUGGCAGUGGGCCUGCAUCACAGGUUGCAGCAGAUGUUCUCAAUAUUUCUAUUAAAAUUUCCUUAUUUCCAUAUGCAAGAGGAGCCCCAGAGCUGCAUCCUUAUGGUAGCUACCAUGCCGUGAUGUAAGCUGCCAUUCACUGGGGAGCUUUGGCAAUAGAAUUGGCUAGAUCAGGAAGCCUAUGUCAACUAUGGAACAACAACUUGCAGCUCAUCUCUAUUGAUGAUACACUGCCUCUAGGACUGGGACAGAUAGCCACUGAGUACCUGCUUCAAAUCACCCUGCACGUUUUCUCUUUGGAAAGAUAAGCACUGGAGAACCAUCUCGUUACCUUCAGCAGAAAUGGAAACAAAUCAAGACAUUAAGAAUGCCGCAGUGGACAGCAGUUAUGCAAGGUUCAGCAGAGGAAGUUUUCAAGAUGGUGUGCCUCACUAGCCAGAAAUCAGAAAAGAUCGAAGCUAGCCUUUUCAUCUCAGCUGCUCCUUAAAUCAGUGCAACCCCUCCAAAUUAAUGUGAAUUGAAACUUGCAUUGCUUUUCAACUUAAUUGAAUACUUACUAUAUGUGAACCACUGCACAAAAUAGGGGAAGAAGAUGUGGGAGACAAAGAUGUGGAGCCUGUCUUCAAUAAAUUUACAGUUAGUUUCAGGGUACAUUGUUUUUCUUCUGCUGUUAAUUAGGUGUAUCCCCAAGACAAUAAAUACAUGAAUGGAAAAGUAUAUUCUGUGUUUUAAGUCUCUUUAAUAAAAAACAAAACAAAAUCCAAAAAAACUCCUAACAUGGCAACUCAGGACAUUUUAAUCCUUUUUUUUGUUGUUGGGCUUCUGAUAGGAUCCAUUUUAUUGAUUCCAUAAAUAUUUAGUAGACUUUAGACAUAUUAAUACAUUGUAGUUUGAGUUAAUUUGCAUUAAAUUCUGUUUUUUUCCCCUUAGGUAUAGAUUGUCUGUUGGAAAAAUAUAUUGCUUGUGGAUUUCUUGGGGAGUGGGAAGGUGAAUUAUACCUGUUGUCUCUACAGUCCACUACCUUCCACACCCUAGGGCAGUGGUCCCCAACCUUCUUGGCACCAGGGAUCAGUUUCCUGGAAGACAAUUUUUCUGUGGAUGGUGUGGGGAUGGUUUUGGGAUGGAACUGUUCCACCUCAGAUCAUCAGGCAUUAGUUAGGCUCUCAUAACGAGUGCGCAGCCUAGAUCCCUCACAUGCACAGUUCACAGUAGGGUUUGCGCUGCUAUGAGAAUCUAAGGCUGCCACUGAUCUGACAGGAGGCAGAACUCAGGUGGCAAUGCUUACUGGCCCACUGCUCACCUCUUGCUGUGCGGCCUGGUUCCUAAUAGGCCAUGGACCCCCACAGACGGGUACUAGUCUGCAGCCUGUGGACCCCAGCCCUAGGGGCCUGCCAUUCUGAGUGAGUUAUUAGCAUGAAGAAGAGGAAGAUCUGGAUCAAACGUGGGUGAUGGUACUCAGAGACCCAAGAUAGGAUAGGGAUGGAACAAAAUCCAUCUGGGCAACGGCUCUAUGAAAAUUUGGCUAAGUAAUUAUUUCAGUAUUCAUUGUAUUCAUUGUCCUUCGUGUUCCAUAAGUUAAAUGACUGUCUAAUUUUUCCAAAAAUUUAUUUCUGACUUGAGAAUAAGUGUGUCAUGAUUUUCCCAGUGUAAAGACACUGAUAUAACUGUAGAUACCAGACAUUUUAUGUAGUGUCUAUGACACAUUUUAGUAUGUAUGAGCCAACAAUAGACAUGUCUUUGUCUUGAGGAGUGUCCAUCUGAAUUGAAAAUGUGUCAGCUUUUUUUUAACAUCAUCAACAGACUUCUUAAUUAAGCUGCCAAUACAUACUGCCAAUAGCACUGUGUGCUGUCUGAGAAAUGCAUUGUGUAAGUGCUAUUUCCAUCUUAUUAAAUAAACAAUGUUGCUCUGUAUAAACUGGAUUUAAAGUGUUCUUUGAAUGAGGCAUUAUAUUGCUCCAUAAAUAAUGUGAUGUGAAUUCUCAUAUGAUCCCUUUUAACUUAAUUUCUAAAAAAAUAUUAUUUGCUCCUCAGUAAGGAAUAGCUCUAAUUGGACUGGUAACUUUAGUGAUAUGAUUUGUCUGUAACAGGCUGAAUCGCCCCACUCCCAAACUCCUGGUCGUGAUACUGGAUAUUUGUUAUGCCACUUUUAGUUUGCAUGAGGUAUCUUCCAGGAAGUAUUAGUUAUUAACUUGUGUUCUACUAAACUGUAGAUAUUUAUUUCCUGUUCUGGAAGAUUUCUUGGAGUGUCCAUCUGUGCAUUCCUGGUGCCUAGUGUAGUCUUGCUAAUGGAAUAGCACCUUUAUUGGUGCUACUUAGGGGUUGGUAGCUUACAAUCAAUCUACUUGGAACGUAUCCAAAUAAACUGGAUAUUUUUAUACA